Dunckerocampus dactyliophorus (ringed pipefish) is the source of this 2034-nucleotide long non-coding RNA. RefSeq lists it as uncharacterized. The transcript is spliced from 3 exons. The record is from RefSeq and is a predicted model, not a curated record. Lineage: Eukaryota; Metazoa; Chordata; Actinopteri; Syngnathiformes; Syngnathidae.
GACUUUUCCAGCAGAUGGAUCUCACAUUGUCUCCAGUGAGGUGCUGUAGCGUGUAAGCUGGACUUAAUCCUCCAGGCAGCGUGUACAGCUUGCCUUGCAUUUGUCUCCAAAUAAGACUUUUAAAGAGUUUUUUUUCUCCACGGGGUGAAGAGCCGCCUGUCAGUCCUCCAUAACAUGCAGGGGGAGGUGGUAUGAAUUGAUUCAAGGGCGACGCCUGACCCCUCCGCUCUUGUUAGUUCAAGCCUAUGAAAUAUAAAAUAGUAAGAUUACAAGCUUCAGCAGAAGGAAAUGUCUGCUAUACUUUUGGAGCUGGGGUUUUUCUUUACGGUGUGUGUGCUAGUUAUUAGCUUGUUUGGCUCCUUCGGGGCUCAAGGUGCCUAUCGGUCAAAACAAUCUCACAACAAUUUUAUGAUGGAUUUGUCAUGCGGUUAUAUAAAGAGGACGAUAGCGAGCGCUCCCUCCCUGAAGACUUGCACUGAGGAGGACGAGAAAAAGUGAAGGGUAAUCAAAACAUUUAGGUUUAACUUAUUGGCUAACAAUGUAUUUUUCUGCUAUAAAGUUUUCUUUUAAUUGCAUAAAUGCUAGCACUAGUUGCGACGUUGUUGAAGUGAUGAUUGAUCGCAGAAGAGGUAGCAAUUUAUCUGCUGCCUAAACGGGCAGCGGUAAUCAAAACAAGGUAGUUUGGCUUUUGCUUAUGGCGAUAACAAUAUAUUUUGCCAGUGUAAAGUUAGAACGCAGGGAUCUCCAAAUACAAUCCAUACUUGACACGCUAAGUGAAGUGACACACUGAUACCAACAGGGGGUGCAAUUGGGUUAGUUUGUCACCUUUAGAGGUACAGUAGCAAAUCAGUGUUGCCAAUAAUAUGUCAAUAUAAUAUAUAGAAUAUAAUAUGUGAGCCAUAGAAUAAGCGCAGCAUAAUCUGUUGUUUGCUGUUCAAUUGUGCUCAUUUUCAAAAGUUGUCAAUAGCCAACGUGUGACGGGAGAACUGGCCGAGAUUAAAUAUUAGUUAUUUUAUUUUGAUGAAAUGGAUAAUUUUAAACAACAAACCGAGUAUCAAGUAUUUUUUUGUUUUAAACCUAAUUAAGGUGUUUUUACUCACUUGUUUUGUCUCUCCUGAGGUCAUGCUUUUUUCCUACAGUAUUUUAUAACAUAUGCAAAUGUAUGCAAAUUAGACGAUGGCGUCACCUAGCCACUGCUAGGACAGCCAAUAGCUACUUUUCUUACUGAAACGUUGGCAACAGGGUAGCUAACAAGUUCAGUUUAGCUUAGCUUUUCACAUACGAUGCUAACAGCAUACAAGGGGGUGCAGUUAGUUCAGUUUGCUGCCUGUUUGCCGAAAAGUGCCGUAGAAGCAUAAGUGUCAUUUCCGCCAUUUUUGGUCUUUUGCUGGGACCCCUGAUACAGGUGUGGCAGGUUUCCUCCACCACCCGGACCAGAAGUGCCAAACGCAGGUCAUAAACCAGGUGAAGUUGCUGGGAGGGUUGGCCCGGCUUGAGCAUCUCAUGGUCACAAGGGUCCCAAACGGCACCGGACCUGAUGGACUGAUGGAGGCUACGGUGUCCCUGGGGUCAACUAAGAGGAGAAGAGGUUGUAAACGGCGGAACACUCAAGAUUGUAGCCGUGGUGCUCUGCUGUCAAAGUCAGCGUAUCCUCGAGUUUAGUCGUGAAGGUUCCAUCUGGGAGCUGCUCCACACGUUGCUGGUUGUCAUCACUGUGAUGCCACUUGAGCUGAGGCGGCGACUCCGGGCAAGGAGUGUAAGCAUAGCAGGUCACGGUGAUGGACUCGUUCUCUUUAAGCGGGCCUGAUGGGAGGGUGAUGGUCGUGUUCGGGGGGUGUUCUGUGGAGCCAAAAUGACAAUCAGGUUCAUAUUUCAAUAAAUGUGCUAGAAGUUACAUCAUUAGGGACACCAAAAUUCAAGUACUCAGUCUACAUGUGACACAAUUAAGAAAUGAUUUGGCACAGAAUUAUUACAAGUUUUGCACCAAAUUUACAAUUUCUAAUUUAUUACAUGGAACAUUUUUUUUUAAUUAAA